RNAcentral lists this ribosomal RNA (498 nucleotides) under uncultured bacterium. RNAcentral's name for it is "partial 16S ribosomal RNA". It matches the Rfam family "Bacterial small subunit ribosomal RNA", at positions 30 to 523 of the family's 1533-position model. The record is from RNAcentral.
AUUGAACGCUGGCGGCAUGCCUUACACAUGCAAGUCGAACGGUAACAGGUCUUCGGAUGCUGACGAGUGGCGAACGGGUGAGUAAUACAUCGGAACGUGCCUAGUAGUGGGGGACAACUACUCGAAAGAGUGGCUAAUACCGCAUGAGAUCUACGGAUGAAAGCAGGGGAUCGCAAGACCUUGUGCUACUAGAGCGGCCGAUGGCAGAUUAGGUAGUUGGUGGGAUAAAAGCUUACCAAGCCGACGAUCUGUAGCUGGUCUGAGAGGACGAUCAGCCAAACUGGGACUGAGACACUGCCCAGACUCCUACGGGAGGCAGCAGUGGGGAAUUUUGGACAAUGGGCGCAAGCCUGAUCCAGCAAUGCCGCGUGCAGGAUGAAGGCCUUCGGGUUGUAAACUGCUUUUGUACGGAACGAAAAGCCCUGGGUUAAUACCCUGGGGUCAUGACGGUACCGUAAGAAUAAGCACCGGCUAACUACGUGCCAGCCGCCGCGGUAA